RNAcentral lists this unclassified non-coding RNA (352 nucleotides) under soil metagenome. RNAcentral describes it as "partial contains 5.8S ribosomal RNA, internal transcribed spacer 2, and large subunit ribosomal RNA". The stretch from base 1 to 120 matches the Rfam family "5.8S ribosomal RNA", at positions 35 to 154 of the family's 154-position model. The record is from RNAcentral.
GAUGAAGAACGUAGCGAAAUGCGAAAAGUAAUGUGAAUUGCAGAAUUCAGUGAAUCAUCGAAUCUUUGAACGCACAUUGCGCCCGCUGGUACUCCGGCGGGUACGCCUGUCCGAGCGUCAUUUCAACCCUCAAGCCCUCCUUCGGGAUGGGCCUGGUGUUGGGGCUCGGCCGCCAUCUCCGGCGGCCGUCCCCUAAAUACAGUGGCGGUCACGUCGCGACUCCUUUGCGUAGUAGAAACACCUCGCUCCGGAUAGCAACGCGGUCCACGCCGUAAAAUCCCCAAUUUUCAAUGGUUGACCUCGGAUCAGGUGGGAAUACCCGCUGAACUUAAGCAUAUCAAUAAGCGGAGGA